AUUGAACGCUGGCGGCAGGCUUAACACAUGCAAGUCGAACGGUAACAUAAAGAAGCUUGCUUCUUUGAUGACGAGUGGCGGACGGGUGAGUAAUGCUUGGGAAUCUAGCUUAUGGAGGGGGAUAACUACGGGAAACUGUAGCUAAUACCGCGUAGAAUCGAGAGAUGAAAGUGUGGGACCUUCGGGCCACAUGCCAUAGGAUGAGCCCAAGUGGGAUUAGGUAGUUGGUGAGGUAAAGGCUCACCAAGCCGACGAUCUCUAGCUGGUCUGAGAGGAUGACCAGCCACACUGGGACUGAGACACGGCCCAGACUCCUACGGGAGGCAGCAGUGGGGAAUAUUGCGCAAUGGGGGCAACCCUGACGCAGCCAUGCCGCGUGAAUGAAGAAGUGCCUUCGGGUUGUAAAGUUCUUUCGGUAGCGAGGAAGGCAUUUAGUUUAAUAGACUAGGUGAUUGACGUAA
Molecule: ribosomal RNA, 461 nt
Filed under: Terrahaemophilus aromaticivorans
Lineage: Bacteria; Pseudomonadati; Pseudomonadota; Gammaproteobacteria; Pasteurellales; Pasteurellaceae
Description: bacterial SSU rRNA
Rfam family: Bacterial small subunit ribosomal RNA
Source: RNAcentral